AGAUGUCAUAAUUUUAUAUUUGAAGAUAGUUUUUAUGCUCAGGAUGUCAUAAUUUUAAUUGAUAAUAUCAUAAUUUUGAUCUAAAAUAUCAUAAUUUUAUAUUUAAAAAUAUUUUUUAUAUCAAGAUGUAAUAAUUUUUAUAUAUAAUAUCAUAAUUUUGAACCAGAAUGAUAUUAUAGAUUAAAAUUAUGGCAUCCUGACAUAAAAAAUAUCUCUGAAUAUAGAAUUAUAAUAUUC
RNAcentral lists this long non-coding RNA (237 nucleotides) under Elaeis guineensis (African oil palm). Its description in RNAcentral is "long non-coding RNA (EGUI_LNC004856)". The record is from RNAcentral. Lineage: Eukaryota; Viridiplantae; Streptophyta; Magnoliopsida; Arecales; Arecaceae.